CCUCCCAGCUGGUCUCUGGCUGGCUUUUCUCCCCUUCCCCCUCAGAGUGCUCUGUCCCUGCCUCAUGCUGCUCUCUUACUGCUCAGCUGAUCAGGCAGAAGCCUGUUUUUUUUCACGUGUCCAGACCCCAAACAGGAAGAAAGUGCUGCAUGUGAUCAUUGCCUUGGCUGUGGUUGGGCCUAGUUGGUCAUAGAAGGAAGCUGCUCUCGGAGCUGUUAAGAGCUGCCUCUCAGGGCAAGAGAACUGGUUGACCACUGCUGAGGAGAGGGAGGUGGCACUGGCAAAAGAGGGAGGGACAACCUGAAAGCAGAGACCAGGUCUGGCAAAGGUCUGAGCCUGGAGGGUUGCAAGGAGCAACACAAGACCAAAUGAUUGGAAGCGUUCUUAAGAGAUUUGAGCAACAAGAGGUGCCCCCUUACUGCACUCAGAAUGGGCUGCCUACCAAGCAGGAACAGUAUGGAGCCAAGCAACUGCCUGCAAACCAAACGUAGCGAGUCCAGUGGAUCGGACCAAAGAGCAAGGUUCUCGGAAAACCCUUUGGACAACACUUCCACCUGUCACAAAAUGUGCCUGCUAAGCAGGCUGCAAAGGAAGGCGUAAAUGUUUCAAAAGUGGUCUCAACUGCACUGGACACUGGACUGUGUACAUGCUUGAAUUAGAAAGCUAUUCAAUCUGUGAAUUUUGUUUCAUUAACUCAUAACCUGUCCCACCCCACCCCCACCACCACCCCUACAAAAUUUCAGGAAUGUGUUAUAUAUUACAGUUCAGUUGAACCAUAUCUUAAUGUUAAAACAUUGCUUCUUACGAUUCAGAUAUAUUAUUUCACUUUCAUAAGAAAUCUCUGUCUUUUAUUUCAAUAAUCCAUGAAUUUUUCUUCACUGCUUAGCUUUGCUCUUAAAGCUCUACUCAGCUGAGUUUAACUGCAUAGUAAUGUAAACAUUAUGAUUCAGAUGCAUUCGUUCAAUUUCCUAAGGUAUGUGUUAUGAUGUAAAUACUGAUUAAAUUCCAUCCAAUUAAAUAUUACAUGCCAUUUGAAUGCUACUUUCUCAAUUCAAGCCUGUGAUGAAUAUUGUUAUAUAGGUAGCCACCUAAACAUAUCUAUAUCUUUAUGCUUUAUGACAAAGUAUAUAUAAUUAAUUACACACACACACACACACACACAGUCUUUUACACUAUAUUUAAAAGAUGCCAUAUUUGAGUUCUGCAUGUAGAACCUUUUAAACUAAUAUUUGUGAUUUAUUCAACGUUCAUGCCAUUUUCCAUAUUUGUCAAUGCAAAAAAAGAAAAGAAAAGAAAAGCAAUAGCAUUGGGUUUUUCAAACUGGAGCAUAAGCAUACUCUUCUGUAACGGAUUUGCAUGUGCCGUUGUAUAGGCACCACUGUUGAU
Molecule: long non-coding RNA, 1386 nt
Organism: Hemicordylus capensis (graceful crag lizard)
Lineage: Eukaryota; Metazoa; Chordata; Lepidosauria; Squamata; Cordylidae
Exons: 3
Source: RefSeq, a predicted model, not a curated record